Molecule: unclassified non-coding RNA, 970 nt
Filed under: Hevea brasiliensis (rubber tree)
Lineage: Eukaryota; Viridiplantae; Streptophyta; Magnoliopsida; Malpighiales; Euphorbiaceae
Source: RNAcentral
UUUUUUUUUUUUUUUUUUUUUGCGUAUAUACGUGUUAACUGAAUGGUUUAACAAUCCUUGAGUCUUUGUAGUGGAACUGGUUUGCUUGAGAUUAAUCUGUAAUUGCACUUGCAAUUUUGAUCAUUUAUUUAUCUGAUUUGACCCGUGUUUAUGAGAAAUUACAUUUUAAAAUCCUUUAUGGUAUGGUAUGGUUCAAUACAUAUUGGAGUUCCUUCUUUUUCAAGAUCCAACAUUUUAUUUCCGAAUUUUAUAAGAUCAACAUUUUCCUUUAUCACGCAAAAGGAGACCAAAAUCAAUGUAGUUUUAAUUUAAAAAAAAAAAAACAAUUGGUUAUGUAUUAAAGGACUACCUAACUACUGGAUUUUAAAAAAGGAGGGGCCAAUGUAUGAAUUUGGACAAACCUCAACUGUGUUAUUUUGGGUAAUUUUUGCCUGUAAUAAUAUCAUUAUACAUCUCAAUCAUUGGUAGGAUAAGUGUGAAAAGAGAGGCAACCAUCGCUAAUAUGAGCAAAUGAUUAUGUCACCUUCGACAUGUUAUUAUGAGCUCUUUUUAGCUAAUUGCGCUGGGAAUUUUAGUAGCAAUACCAAAUUCUUCCAUCUUAUUUCUCAGUUCAGGAUAAUUUUAAUUCUUAUUUAUUGCUUUGUUGACCAAUUGAAGAUGCUGUUGAAAAUGUUGAUUUAGAUUUUUGUUUCCAAGAUUUAGACUCCUGUUAAUCUGGUGGCUUUUAACUCAUGACUGUGUUAUGUUUAGUUGCACGCUUGUACUCAUUUAUGUGAUUUCCAUUUCAAUUUAGUUGCAUCGAUACCGUGUCAAGUGGAAUUCAAUUCCUUAAAAAGUGCUAACACUCAACAUGUGGAACUCAAACAAAUGUUUAGCUAUGUCCUCUUUCUUUUAUUUUGUAUUAAUGCCACCAUAUUGAAGAUUUAACCACCCAGAACCUUUUUAUAAUGUUAUCUGUGGAUGUCACUGC